UCCNGAUGCACUGCCAAGAGAAGGAAAGC
Molecule: non-coding RNA, 29 nt
Filed under: Homo sapiens (human)
Lineage: Eukaryota; Metazoa; Chordata; Mammalia; Primates; Hominidae
Source: RNAcentral